Molecule: long non-coding RNA, 318 nt
Organism: Trichomycterus rosablanca
Lineage: Eukaryota; Metazoa; Chordata; Actinopteri; Siluriformes; Trichomycteridae
Exons: 3
Source: RefSeq, a predicted model, not a curated record
CUGUGGCGUUUGUGCCAAGUUUUUGCAUUCUAAUUUUUUCUAUCUUCUUUUCUACUGAUUGAUUGUAUCAAGAGAAUCCUUGGCAGAACUGGAUGCUGAUUUAACAAUGGAAGAGUUGGAAAGAGCCCUUAAAAACACGGAAAGUGGAAAAGCACCAGGGCUAGACGGAAUUCCAGUAGAAUUUUACAAGACUUUUUGGUCAGAGUGCAAAAGACAGCAGGUAAAAAGCUCCUGCAGGACCAGGAACCCACCACUGGAUCCAGUAAUGGCAUCAGUCAGGAGGCAUCGAAGCUGCUGGAUGAAAUCAUUUUAGAGUUU